ACCUGCAGACCCUACAACGAAUUGCAAAUAUUAAAAGAGCUUUCAGUAUCUAAUACCCAGGUAGUAGAAUUGCAAAUUAUGAAAUUACAAAGUGUUAUCAUAUAAUUACUUUGUCCAACAAUAACUUGCUUCUUUCUCGACCUGUUCGAAUCUAGGGAGGCAAUAUAUUGAGGAUAAUUUCUCUUCCAGUGCCUCUACUUCUUGCAGUAGAAGCAUCUUGCCUGACUCUGAUCGGACUUGGAUUUUUUGGUCUGAUAGGGCUUG
Molecule: long non-coding RNA, 264 nt
Filed under: Elaeis guineensis (African oil palm)
Lineage: Eukaryota; Viridiplantae; Streptophyta; Magnoliopsida; Arecales; Arecaceae
Description: long non-coding RNA (EGUI_LNC076709)
Source: RNAcentral